UCCCUGGUGGCUCAGAAGGUAAAGCGUCUGCCCGCAAUGCAGGAGACCUGGGUUCGAUUCCUGGGUUGGGAA
This 72-nucleotide transfer RNA is filed under the name Ovis aries (sheep). It matches the Rfam family "tRNA". Rfam says of the family: Transfer RNA (tRNA) molecules are approximately 80 nucleotides in length. Their secondary structure includes four short double-helical elements and three loops (D, anti-codon, and T loops). The record is from Rfam by way of RNAcentral. Lineage: Eukaryota; Metazoa; Chordata; Mammalia; Artiodactyla; Bovidae.